Schistosoma mattheei is the source of this 45-nucleotide non-coding RNA. The record is from Rfam. Lineage: Eukaryota; Metazoa; Platyhelminthes; Trematoda; Strigeidida; Schistosomatidae.
AUUCAGCUGAUGAGUCCCAAACAGAAUGAAACGCUCAUCCUGGAU